This 109-nucleotide ribosomal RNA is filed under the name uncultured fungus. RNAcentral describes it as "5.8S ribosomal RNA". It matches the Rfam family "5.8S ribosomal RNA", at positions 1 to 108 of the family's 154-position model. Rfam says of the family: 5.8S ribosomal RNA (5.8S rRNA) is a component of the large subunit of the eukaryotic ribosome. It is transcribed by RNA polymerase I as part of the 45S precursor that also contains 18S and 28S rRNA. RNAcentral also lists the same sequence under 1 other name. The record is from RNAcentral. Lineage: Eukaryota; Fungi.
AACUUUCAGCAAUGGAUCUCUUGGCUCUCGCAUCGAUGAAGAACGCAGCGAAACGCGAUAUGUAAUGUGAAUUGCAGAUCUACAGUGAAUCAUCGAAUCUUUGAACGCA